This 701-nucleotide ribosomal RNA is filed under the name uncultured beta proteobacterium. RNAcentral describes it as "bacterial SSU rRNA". It matches the Rfam family "Bacterial small subunit ribosomal RNA", at positions 8 to 702 of the family's 1533-position model. The record is from RNAcentral. Lineage: Bacteria; Pseudomonadati; Pseudomonadota; Betaproteobacteria.
AGAGUUUGAUCCUGGCUCAGAUUGAACGCUGGCGGCAUGCCUUACACAUGCAAGUCGAACGGCAGCACGGGUGCUUGCACCUGGUGGCGAGUGGCGAACGGGUGAGUAAUGUAUCGGAACGUACCAUUCAGUGGGGGAUAACUAUCCGAAAGGAUAGCUAAUACCGCAUAUUCUGUGAGCAGGAAAGCAGGGGAUCGCAAGACCUUGCGCUGAUUGAGCGGCCGAUAUCAGAUUAGCUAGUUGGUGGGGUAAAAGCCUACCAAGGCGACGAUCUGUAGCGGGUCUGAGAGGAUGAUCCGCCACACUGGAACUGAGACACGGUCCAGACUCCUACGGGAGGCAGCAGUGGGGAAUUUUGGACAAUGGGCGAAAGCCUGAUCCAGCCAUGCCGCGUGAGUGAAGAAGGCCUUCGGGUUGUAAAGCUCUUUCGGCCGGGAAGAAAUCGUAUAGGUUAAUACCCUGUGUGGAUGACGGUACCGGAAUAAGAAGCACCGGCUAACUACGUGCCAGCAGCCGCGGUAAUACGUAGGGUGCGAGCGUUAAUCGGAAUUACUGGGCGUAAAGCGUGCGCAGGCGGUUUUUUAAGGCAGGCGUGAAAUCCCCGGGCUUAACCUGGGAACUGCGCUUGUGACUGGAAGGCUAGAGUACGGCAGAGGGGGGUGGAAUUCCACGUGUAGCAGUGAAAUGCGUANAGAUGUGGA